GAGGGUACAGCUCAGUGGUAGAGUGAGUGCCUUGCAUGCACCAAGGUCCUAGGUUCAAUCCCAAGUACCUCCA
Molecule: transfer RNA, 73 nt
Filed under: Camelus bactrianus (Bactrian camel)
Lineage: Eukaryota; Metazoa; Chordata; Mammalia; Artiodactyla; Camelidae
Also listed under: 2 other names
Rfam family: tRNA
About the family: Transfer RNA (tRNA) molecules are approximately 80 nucleotides in length. Their secondary structure includes four short double-helical elements and three loops (D, anti-codon, and T loops).
Source: Rfam by way of RNAcentral